GCCUGGGUGGCUCAGUCGGUUGGGUAUCUGACUUUCGAUCAGGUCGUGAUCUUAAGGAUCACGUGAGUUCGAGCCUCACGUCGGGCU
RNAcentral lists this transfer RNA (87 nucleotides) under Felis catus (domestic cat). It matches the Rfam family "tRNA". From Rfam's summary of the family: Transfer RNA (tRNA) molecules are approximately 80 nucleotides in length. Their secondary structure includes four short double-helical elements and three loops (D, anti-codon, and T loops). The record is from Rfam by way of RNAcentral. Lineage: Eukaryota; Metazoa; Chordata; Mammalia; Carnivora; Felidae.